This 473-nucleotide ribosomal RNA is filed under the name uncultured organism. RNAcentral's name for it is "partial 16S ribosomal RNA". It matches the Rfam family "Bacterial small subunit ribosomal RNA", at positions 332 to 797 of the family's 1533-position model. The record is from RNAcentral.
UACACUCCUGCGGGAGGCAGCAGUGGGGAAUUUUGGACAAUGGGCGAAAGCCUGAUCCAGCAAUGCCGCGUGAGUGAAGAAGGCCUUCGGGUUGUAAAGCUCUUUUGUCAGGGAAGAAACGGUGAGAGCUAAUAUCUCUUGCUAAUGACGGUACCUGAAGAAUAAGCACCGGCUAACUACGUGCCAGCAGCCGCGGUAAUACGUAGGGUGCAAGCGUUAAUCGGAAUUACUGGGCGUAAAGCGUGCGCAGGCGGUUUUGUAAGUCUGAUGUGAAAUCCCCGGGCUCAACCUGGGAAUUGCAUUGGAGACUGCAAGGCUAGAAUCUGGCAGAGGGGGGUAGAAUUCCACGUGUAGCAGUGAAAUGCGUAGAUAUGUGGAGGAACACCGAUGGCGAAGGCAGCCCCCUGGGUCAAGAUUGACGCUCAUGCACGAAAGCGUGGGGAGCAAACAGGAUUAGAAACCCGUGUAGUCCC